AGCAGCCGCGGUAAUUCCAGCUCCAAUAGCGUAUAUUAAAGUUGUUGCAGUUAAAAAGCUCGUAGUUGAAUUUCGGGAUUUGUCAGUUGGUCGGGCUUCACUGUCCGUAUUGACUUGAUGGAUUCUUACCUUCUGAAUAACCAGCAUGCUAUUAAGUUAGUGCGUUGGGGAAGCAGAUCUAUUACCUUGAAAAAUUAGAGUGCUUAAAGCGAGCUAGUGCUUGAAUAGAUUAGCAUGGAAUAAUAAAAUAGGACGGCAUGGUUCUAUUUUGUUGGUUUCUAGGAUCACCGUAAUGAUUAAUAGGGAUAGUUGGGGGCAUUAGUAUUCAAUUGUCAGAGGUGAAAUUCUUGGAUUUAUUGAAGACUAACUUCUGCGAAAGCAUUUGCCAAGGAUGUUUUCAUUAAUCAAGAACGAAAGUUAGGGGAUCGAAGACGAUCAGAUACCGUCGUAGUCUUAACCAUAAACUAUGCCGACUAGGAAUCGGACGAUGUUAAUCUAUAAUGACUCG
RNAcentral lists this ribosomal RNA (508 nucleotides) under uncultured Acaulospora. Its description in RNAcentral is "SSU rRNA". It matches the Rfam family "Eukaryotic small subunit ribosomal RNA", at positions 569 to 1078 of the family's 1831-position model. The record is from RNAcentral. Lineage: Eukaryota; Fungi; Glomeromycota; Glomeromycetes; Diversisporales; Acaulosporaceae.